Lathyrus oleraceus (garden pea) is the source of this 106-nucleotide small nucleolar RNA. NCBI's taxonomy places the organism in Eukaryota, Viridiplantae, Streptophyta, Magnoliopsida, Fabales, Fabaceae. The record is from RefSeq and is a predicted model, not a curated record.
AUCCCAUGAUGAGGGCAUAGCCUUAACAUCUCCUUAAAAUGCUCUCAUGCUUCAUAAAGUGAUUCUCCGUACUUUUUGGUAGAACUUGUGAUUUGAUUUCUUAGCU